AGACUUGACAUCUCCUGAAUUACUCUGUAAUGGAGGAAGCCACUUCGGUGGCAGGAAGACAGGUGGUGCAUGGUUGUCGUCAGCUCGUGUCGUGAGAUGUUGGGUUAAGUCCCGCAACGAGCGCAACCCUUAUUGUUAGUUGCUACCAUUUAGUUGAGCACUCUAGCGAGACUGCCCGGGUUAACCGGGAGGAAGGUGGGGAUGACGUCAAAUCAUCAUGCCCCUUAUGUCUAGGGCUACACACGUGCUACAAUGGUCGGUACAAUGAGAUGCAACCUCGCGAGAGUGAGCAAAACUAUAAAACCGAUCUCAGUUCGGAUUGUAGGCUGAAACUCGCCUACAUGAAGCUGGAGUUGCUAGUAAUCGCGAAUCAGAAUGUCGCGGUGAAUACGUUCCCGGGCCUUGUACACACCGCCCGUCACACCAUGAGAGUUGGCAAUACCCAAAGUUCGUGAGCUAACGCGUAAGCGAGGCAGCGACCUAAGGUAGGGUCAGCGAUUGGGGUGAAGUCGUAACAAGGUAGCCGUAGGAGAACCUGCGGCUGGAUCACCUCCUUU
RNAcentral lists this non-coding RNA (557 nucleotides) under Clostridium butyricum E4 str. BoNT E BL5262. RNAcentral's name for it is "Bacterial small subunit ribosomal RNA". It matches the Rfam family "Bacterial small subunit ribosomal RNA", at positions 977 to 1533 of the family's 1533-position model. The record is from Rfam by way of RNAcentral. Lineage: Bacteria; Bacillati; Bacillota; Clostridia; Eubacteriales; Clostridiaceae.